Molecule: long non-coding RNA, 1753 nt
Organism: Cornus florida
Lineage: Eukaryota; Viridiplantae; Streptophyta; Magnoliopsida; Cornales; Cornaceae
Exons: 4
Source: RefSeq, a predicted model, not a curated record
CCCAACAUCAUCUUUGCUACCACCCAUUUCAAUGGCUUCCCUUUCAACCACUUUUCACCCACUAAAUAAAGUAACCCAUAUCUGUCACCUGUUCGACAACUUUCAUGAUCGCCCAACCUCUAGCUCCCAAUCCAUGGAUAGGCCUUCAAUUUUGCUGGCUGAAAACGUGUUCAAGAUGGCCGAAUUUGAGCUCCAUCAAUUAGCAUGGCCGAAUAUGAGUUGCAUGUGGACUCUGGAGGUACGUUUUAAUUUGUUUUAUAGUUGUAAAACCCUAGAUUGUCAAAGAAAGCCCCCCUAAUUAUACAUCUUGUCAUAUAUUUACAUCUGCAAUUUUGAUGUUCUCUAUCUCCCUAUCUUCCCCCAUUACCGAAGCCCUACUUCUCAAUACAUAGUCUACCUAUGGCUGCCCCAAAUCUUAUGUUUUCAAGUCUUUCUCUUGCCUACGCAUUUUAAUUGAUUCCACUUUUCUCCUCAAUCAAUCAGCGAACUAGAAAGCGAGGAAAUCGUUCACACAUAAUCGCUUAUAUAGAAGUCAGAAUUUCAACUAGUUACGAAUCUCUAAUUUGCCGUUCCCCUCUGUCCAUUCUCAUUGAUUCAUUCCAUUCAAGAAGAACAGGCAAUCCAUCAAGCUAAAAUAGCGCACUAGAGCAUAGAUUAGAGUUGAUUUGAAUAUGAGUAAUUUAAUAUGUACAUAUAUUUUGAGUAUAAAUCCAAUGUGUUCUUUUAAGUAUUAAAAGGUUUUUUGCUCAACAAAAUUAUCCAUUAUCAUUUUUGUUUUAGAUUUAGCUAGUGAUGAACUAGGCCAUAAGUGGAAAAUAAAUAGUUAUCCAAUUGGUUAAAGUAGUAUUAUUAAUUGAGCCAUUUAGAUUGUAUGCUCAAGCCAAUCCUGUUAGUGGGUAUUAAGUCUUUUAAUAUACAAGAGUGGGAGUGGGAAUACCCUCUACCCAAACUUAGUUAAAUUAUUAUUAUUAUUAUAUUGAAACUUCUCUCAUGUGACCUUCCAUAUAGUUUGUGAAAUGUCACAUAUGGUGUGUGAUGAUGACUGAUACUCAUUAUGAUAAGGUACAUUGGUAUUUCUUACGCUUCUUAAUAGUUUAACUUAUUUUUAUUGCAUUUACUCUUUUUUUUUUUUUUUUUUUUCUAGGAUGGAGCAAGGGAACACUUUGAUGCCUAUUGAAGGUCUCAAAAUACAUUGUUCUAAUCUACGGAUGUGGUAGCAUGGGUUUGGUUUCACAAGUUAGUUCAUAAUGGUGGUUAACUGUUAUUGGCUUCUGGAGUGACUUGGUGUGGAAUUAUUGUAUUCAAAGGCGAAAUGCAUAAAGUCAUAAACAGUUUGAAGAAUGACUACCUUUCAUGAAAUUCAGUUGGUGCUAAGUAAAAUUCAAUGCAAGCAAUGGGCAGCCCUAACAAUGAGCUUCUGGAGUGACUUGGUGUGGAAUUAUUGUAUUCAAAGGCGAAGUGCAUAAAGUCAUAAACAGUUUGAAGAAUUUUAAGAUUAGAGGACUAGUAUGAAGGCAUGAGAGUUCUUUUGUGUGUGUGUGUGUUUUUAUUUUUUAAGGAAUGAGAGUUUAUUUUUUACUUGUUAGUAUGAAUUUGUGUUGUACAAUUGGGUAGUUCUCUUUUGUAAUCAAAUCGAAUAUUGUAAUACAAUUUUGUAAUGAUAUUUGAUGUUUUAUUCAACACUGUUUCAAUUUUUGUGUUGAAAUGAAUAUAAUAUAGUAUAGAAAUUUAAUUGAACAGUAGAUUUGAGUCU